This 78-nucleotide transfer RNA is filed under the name Caudoviricetes sp. Its description in RNAcentral is "tRNA-Met". It matches the Rfam family "tRNA". From Rfam's summary of the family: Transfer RNA (tRNA) molecules are approximately 80 nucleotides in length. The record is from RNAcentral. Lineage: Duplodnaviria; Heunggongvirae; Uroviricota; Caudoviricetes.
GCUACAUUAGCUUAGUAUGGUUAGAGCACUCGGCUCAUAUCCGAGCAUACAUUGGUUCAAAUCCAUUAUGUAGCACCA